UUUUUUAUGGAGAGUUUGAUCCUGGCUCAGGACGAACGCUGGCGGCGUGCUUAACACAUGCAAGUCGAACGGUAAGGCCCCUUCGGGGGUACACGAGUGGCGAACGGGUGAGUAACACGUGGGUGACCUGCCCUGUACUUCGGGAUAAGCCUGGGAAACUGGGUCUAAUACCGGAUAUGACCUUCCCCUGCAUGGGGGUUGGUGGAAAGCUUUUGCGGUACAGGAUGGGCCCGCGGCCUAUCAGCUUGUUGGUGGGGUAAUGGCCUACCAAGGCGACGACGGGUAGCCGGCCUGAGAGGGCGACCGGCCACACUGGG
Molecule: ribosomal RNA, 317 nt
Filed under: Tsukamurella pulmonis
Lineage: Bacteria; Bacillati; Actinomycetota; Actinomycetes; Mycobacteriales; Tsukamurellaceae
Description: bacterial SSU rRNA
Rfam family: Bacterial small subunit ribosomal RNA
Source: RNAcentral